AUUGAACGCUGGCGGUAUGCUUAACACAUGCAAGUCGAACGGUAGCAGGCCUUCGGGCGCUGACGAGUGGCGGACGGGUGAGUAAUGCAUAGGAAUCUGCCUAUUAGUGGGGGACAACGUGGGGAAACUCACGCUAAUACCGCAUACGCCCUACGGGGGAAAGCGGGGGAUCUUCGGACCUCGCGCUAAUAGAUGAGCCUAUGUUGGAUUAGCUAGUUGGUAGGGUAAAGGCCUACCAAGGCGACGAUCCAUAGCUGGUCUGAGAGGAUGAUCAGCCACACUGGGGCUGAGACACGGCCCAGACUCCUACGGGAGGCAGCAGUGGGGAAUAUUGGACAAUGGGCGCAAGCCUGAUCCAGCAAUACCGCGUGUGUGAAGAAGGCCUGAGGGUUGUAAAGCACUUUCAAUGGGAAGGAAUACCUAUCGGCUAAUACCCGGUAGACUGACAUUACCCAUACAAGAAGCACCGGCUAACUCCGUGCCAGCAGCCGCGGUAAUACGGAGGGUGCAAGCGUUAAUCGGAAUUACUG
Molecule: ribosomal RNA, 530 nt
Filed under: uncultured bacterium
Lineage: Bacteria
Description: bacterial SSU rRNA
Rfam family: Bacterial small subunit ribosomal RNA
Source: RNAcentral